UGAUAGCUGUGAAACGGAGGUUGCUCUGAGCACAAAAGUGUCCGGAGGUUUUCCGCGGAGCGAAUGUCAAGGCCGGCUAA
Molecule: non-coding RNA, 80 nt
Filed under: bovine gut metagenome
Description: S10-Clostridia ribosomal protein leader
Rfam family: S10-Clostridia ribosomal protein leader
Source: RNAcentral